This 229-nucleotide ribosomal RNA is filed under the name uncultured bacterium. RNAcentral's name for it is "partial 16S ribosomal RNA". It matches the Rfam family "Bacterial small subunit ribosomal RNA", at positions 111 to 334 of the family's 1533-position model. The record is from RNAcentral.
UAACACGUGGGUAACCUGCCCAUCAGAGGGGGAUAACAUUCGGAAACGGAUGCUAAAACCGCAUAGGUCCUUUAACCGCAUGGUUGAGGAGGAAAAGAGGCGCAAGCUUCUGCUGAUGGAUGGACCCGCGGUGCAUUAGCUAGUUGGUGAGGUAACGGCUCACCAAGGCCGUGAUGCAUAGCCGACCUGAGAGGGUGAUCGGCCACAUUGGGACUGAGACACGGCCCAA